GGCUUUGUAGCUCAGCUGGUAGAGCGCUUGUCGCAUUUUUGCAUGCUGUUUCUGUCGCUUGUUCUAAUCCAGCCGAAGCCU
Molecule: non-coding RNA, 81 nt
Organism: Paragonimus skrjabini miyazakii
Lineage: Eukaryota; Metazoa; Platyhelminthes; Trematoda; Plagiorchiida; Troglotrematidae
Source: the annotation of a GenBank genome assembly